GAUGAACGCUGGCGGCGUGCCUAAUACAUGCAAGUAGAACGCUGAAGGAAGGAGCUUGCUCUUUCCGGAUGAGUUGCGAACGGGUGAGUAACGCGUAGGUAACCUGCCUGGUAGCGGGGGAUAACUAUUGGAAACGAUAGCUAAUACCGCAUAACAGUAGAUGUUGCAUGAUAUCUACUUAAAAGGUGCAAUUGCACCACUACCAGAUGGACCUGCGUUGUAUUAGCUAGUUGGUGAGGUAACGGCUCACCAAGGCGACGAUACAUAGCCGACCUGAGAGGGUGAUCGGCCACACUGGGACUGAGACACGGCCCAGACUCCUACGGGAGGCAGCAGUAGGGAAUCUUCGGCAAUGGACGGAAGUCUGACCGAGCAACGCCGCGUGAGUGAAGAAGGGUUUCGGAUCGUAAAGCUCUGUUGUAAGAGAAGAACGAGUGUGAGAGUGGAAAGUUCACACUGUGACGGUAUCUUACCAGAAAGGGACGGCUAACUACGUG
RNAcentral lists this ribosomal RNA (497 nucleotides) under uncultured bacterium. RNAcentral's name for it is "partial 16S ribosomal RNA". It matches the Rfam family "Bacterial small subunit ribosomal RNA", at positions 28 to 507 of the family's 1533-position model. The record is from RNAcentral.